GGUUAAGCGACUAAGCGUACACGGUGGAUGCCCUGGCAGUCAGAGGCGAUGAAGGGCGUGCUAAUCUGCGAUAAGCGCCGGUAAGGUGAUAUGAACCGUUAUAACCGGCGAUACCCGAAUGGGGAAACCCAGUGUGAUUCGUCACACUAUCAUUAACUGAAUCCAUAGGUUAAUGAGGCGAACCGGGGGAACUGAAACAUCUAAGUACCCCGAGGAAAAGAAAUCAACCGAGAUUCCCCCAGUAGCGGCGAGCGAACGGGGAGGAGCCCAGAGCCUGAAUCAGCAUGUGUGUUAGUGGAAGCGUCUGGAAAGGCGCGCGAUACAGGGUGACAGCCCCGUACACAAAAGCGCAUGUGCUGUGAGCUCGAUGAGUAGGGCGGGACACGUGGUAUCCUGUCUGAAUAUGGGGGGACCAUCCUCCAAGGCUAAAUACUCCUGACUGACCGAUAGUGAACCAGUACCGUGAGGGAAAGGCGAAAAGAACCCCGGCGAGGGGAGUGAAAAAGAACCUGAAACCGUGUACGUACAAGCAGUGGGAGCACCCUUUGGGGUGUGACUGCGUACCUUUUGUAUAAUGGGUCAGCGACUUAUAUUCUGUAGCAAGGUUAACCGAAUAGGGGAGCCGGAGGGAAACCGAGUCUUAAUUGGGCGUUAAGUUGCAGGGUAUAGACCCGAAACCCGGUGAUCUAGCCAUGGGCAGGUUGAAGGUUGGGUAACACUAACUGGAGGACCGAACCGACUAAUGUUGAAAAAUUAGCGGAUGACCUGUGGCUGGGGGUGAAAGGCCAAUCAAACCGGGAGAUAGCUGGUUCUCCCCGAAAGCUAUUUAGGUAGCGCCUCGUGAAUUCAUCUCCGGGGGUAGAGCACUGUUUCGGCUAGGGGGCCAUCCCGGCUUACCAACCCGAUGCAAACUGCGAAUACCGGAGAAUGUUAUCACGGGAGACACACGGCGGGUGCUAACGUCCGUCGUGAAGAGGGAAACAACCCAGACCGCCAGCUAAGGUCCCAAAGUCAUGGUUAAGUGGGAAACGAUGUGGGAAGGCCCAGACAGCCAGGAUGUUGGCUUAGAAGCAGCCAUCAUUUAAAGAAAGCGUAAUAGCUCACUGGUCGAGUCGGCCUGCGCGGAAGAUGUAACGGGGCUAAACCAUGCACCGAAGCUGCGGCAGCGACGCUGAUGCGUUGUUGGGUAGGGGAGCGUUCUGUAAGCCUGCGAAGGUGGCCUGUGAGGGUUGCUGGAGGUAUCAGAAGUGCGAAUGCUGACAUAAGUAACGAUAAAGCGGGUGAAAAGCCCGCUCGCCGGAAGACCAAGGGUUCCUGUCCAACGUUAAUCGGGGCAGGGUGAGUCGACCCCUAAGGCGAGGCCGAAAGGCGUAGUCGAUGGGAAACGGGUUAAUAUUCCCGUACUUGGUGUUACUGCGAAGGGGGGACGGAGAAGGCUAUGUUGGCCGGGCGACGGUU
Molecule: ribosomal RNA, 1458 nt
Filed under: Salmonella enterica subsp. enterica serovar Montevideo
Lineage: Bacteria; Pseudomonadati; Pseudomonadota; Gammaproteobacteria; Enterobacterales; Enterobacteriaceae
Description: partial 23S ribosomal RNA
Rfam family: Bacterial large subunit ribosomal RNA
Source: RNAcentral